GGUGCCUAUUAUUUUUGACACAAUUGCGCAUACAUAACAAAAAUCAAAAACAUAAACAAAAUAAAUGUGUUGAAAAUCAAAAAUUUUCAUAAUUGAAUAAUGAAAAAAUGGAUGUUGUCCAAAAACCAGUAGAGCCAACAAAUAGACAUUGGAUCAGCCAGCCAAUCAGUCAGCGCAAACAAAGGACUUGAACGAAACCAACUGAAUCACCAGGAAUUUAGAGAAUCUCAGCUACAGCAAUCGCUUUGGGCAACAAUAUUUCAAUACCCAUGUGCACGCGAAUUAAUUGCAAAUAUUGUCAAUAUUUCCAAAACUUGCAGUGUUGACCACAAAAUCCAGACAGCAUCAAUUACUCGACUGUUAGGUGGAAAAGAAAAAUACUAAUAAAAGAUCGUACGAACCGCGAUAGUUUAUAAAAAUUCGAUAUAUGUAAUUAAAUUGAUAUUGAGCAAUGACUGAAGAGGCUGAGUCCAUUGCUUCACAAGCCGGUUAGAAAUAAUCAUAGCAAAAUUUUACAUAUGUAUAUAUGUGCAUACAUAUGUACGUAUAACGUGCACGCGGUGGUCAUGCAAAAGAAAUCGAAUUUCAUACUUACAUAAAUGUAUAUGUAUGUUCAAACUCUAACCGAAAAACCCUAUAUGUAUGUAUGUACAUCAUAAACAGUGAUGAAGUGAGAGGAAAACGAAACUGUUGCAACAAGAGAAGAUCUGAAAAGUAUCAUUGUGAAGCCAGUCUUCAAAAAUACAAAGUAAAAAAAUAACUAUAGGCCUAUUUCGUUACCAUCUUCAAUCUCAAACGUUUUUGAGAAAACAGUUAAUGUUGUUGCGACGUUUUGUUAAUAUCUAUAACAAAGGCAUUGUGAGUUGCGUCUUCAUAAAUAGAGAAAUACAAUUCCUGGUUUAGGUUCGAGCAUCAGCUAGGAGGUUAGUAACAUUGGAUGGUGUGCAAUGAAUCACAUUUCCAUUGAUAGCGGUUUGUAGAAGAUGGACUACGACUGGCAUGAACCGGAUGAACAUCUUGAUAAAGAAUUCCCUUAAAGUUGCGGAAUAGUGUGAGAUAUUGCCGCAUGAAUGCAAUCCAUAGAAAACACUUUUGAUUUUCAUUUCAAAUACGGCUACAUAUUAGAAGGUGAUUGUGGAAAAUGUGAAGAACUGCCUUCGUGAAACAGCGAAUAGCCAAUCCGUCAAGUUCUACGCAGAGUUCCACUAGCAACGCACGAGCAAUUAAAUCAAAUAAUCCAAGAAAUGCAGCAAAGUGUAGUAAUUGAGCCAUCAAAAACCUGUGGAGCUCACCGGUCGUACUGGUUAAAAAGAAAGAUUGUAGCCCUCGGCUGGUAUAGAUUACAGGAAGCUGAAGCAUUACCACGAAAUGGUUUUCCCCGCUUGAUUUAAAAAGUGAUUACUGACUGGUGGAAAUUGAGGAUUGCGAUCGUGAGAAGACAGCCUUCAGCAUAGGAGAUGGGUUGUGGCAGUUUCCUGUGAUGUCAUUCGGAUUAUGCAACGCCCUGAUAUCAUUGGAGUGUCUGAUAGAGCAUGUGCUGAAGGUACUUCACUGGAAAACG
Long non-coding RNA from Anastrepha obliqua, 1561 nucleotides. RefSeq lists it as uncharacterized. The record is from RefSeq and is a predicted model, not a curated record. The transcript is spliced from 4 exons. NCBI's taxonomy places the organism in Eukaryota, Metazoa, Arthropoda, Insecta, Diptera, Tephritidae.